AUGGGCCAGCAGGCACAGCUGGACACUGCUGCUCUACUCCUGACCAGUGCUUUCUCAUAUGCUAGUCAUUGGCUGAACGUGACCGCUGAGCAGUCGAAAGUAGACUAGUCUGAAUUGAAAUGUGCUUUCUUUAUUACAGUGGGAAGUCCCAUGGACCGAGCUCAAUUGUCCUAUGAAGCGGAACUUUCGUCCUAAAAAUCAGAAGUAGCUGGUGUUGGACUCAACAUGAUCCCAAACUCACCUAAUAGCUGCCUCUGAGAAUGCAAUUUUCAGUCAGGAGCACAAGAGAAGUGCUCAUUAAAAGUGCUCAUGAAACUGCAUUAAAAGUUCCAUGUUUGGCCAAAACCCCAGAAAAAAAAAAAAUCAGUCGGUAUUUUCAAGGUCCCACCUGGCUUGGUUCAUCAUCCACAAUGAAACGAUUGAAAAAAAUGCAUGUGCCUGACCCAGGUUCUUACUCAUAAUGUUUCUGUCUGAGAUGUGAAGUUGCUGUCACCUGCUUGUAGACAGAAUAUUUAAAAAUGAGAGUUCAUGGUUUUAGUUGAGACUG
RNAcentral lists this long non-coding RNA (547 nucleotides) under Pan troglodytes (chimpanzee). RNAcentral describes it as "lincRNA". The record is from RNAcentral. Lineage: Eukaryota; Metazoa; Chordata; Mammalia; Primates; Hominidae.